CAGUAGCUCAGUUGGAUAGAGCAACGGCCUUCUAAGCCGUGGGUCGGGGGUUCGAAUCCCUCCUGG
RNAcentral lists this transfer RNA (66 nucleotides) under Veillonella parvula. It matches the Rfam family "tRNA", at positions 5 to 66 of the family's 71-position model. From Rfam's summary of the family: Transfer RNA (tRNA) molecules are approximately 80 nucleotides in length. Their secondary structure includes four short double-helical elements and three loops (D, anti-codon, and T loops). Further hydrogen bonds mediate the characteristic L-shaped molecular structure. tRNAs have two regions of fundamental functional importance: the anti-codon, which is responsible for specific mRNA codon recognition, and the 3' end, to which the tRNAs corresponding amino acid is attached (by aminoacyl-tRNA synthetases). tRNAs cope with the degeneracy of the genetic code in two manners: having more than one tRNA (with a specific anti-codon) for a particular amino acid; and 'wobble' base-pairing, i.e. permitting non-standard base-pairing at the 3rd anti-codon position. The record is from RNAcentral. RNAcentral also lists the same sequence under 14 other names. Lineage: Bacteria; Bacillati; Bacillota; Negativicutes; Veillonellales; Veillonellaceae.